CGAAACCUUCCGAAGAUGCUUUGGUGCCUUCGGGAACUCUGAGACAGGUGCUGCAUGGCUGUCGUCAGCUCGUGUUGUGAAAUGUUGGGUUAAGUCCCGCAACGAGCGCAACCCUUAUCCUUUGUUGCCAGCGGUUCGGCCGGGAACUCAAAGGAGACUGCCAGUGAUAAACUGGAGGAAGGUGGGGAUGACGUCAAGUCAUCAUGGCCCUUACGAGUAGGGCUACACACGUGCUACAAUGGCGCAUACAAAGAGAAGCGACCUCGCGAGAGCAAGCGGACCUCAUAAAGUGCGUCGUAGUCCGGAUUGGAGUCUGCAACUCGACUCCAUGAAGUCGGAAUCGCUAGUAAUCGUAGAUCAGAAUGCUACGGUGAAUACGUUCCCGGGUCUUGUACACACCGAA
This 403-nucleotide ribosomal RNA is filed under the name Enterobacter sp. OOS103. RNAcentral describes it as "bacterial SSU rRNA". It matches the Rfam family "Bacterial small subunit ribosomal RNA", at positions 992 to 1394 of the family's 1533-position model. The record is from RNAcentral. Lineage: Bacteria; Pseudomonadati; Pseudomonadota; Gammaproteobacteria; Enterobacterales; Enterobacteriaceae.